This 87-nucleotide transfer RNA is filed under the name Sulfurivirga caldicuralii. RNAcentral's name for it is "tRNA-Leu". It matches the Rfam family "tRNA". From Rfam's summary of the family: Transfer RNA (tRNA) molecules are approximately 80 nucleotides in length. The record is from RNAcentral. Lineage: Bacteria; Pseudomonadati; Pseudomonadota; Gammaproteobacteria; Thiotrichales; Piscirickettsiaceae.
GCGGAUGUGGCGGAACUGGUAGACGCGCAGGGUUCAGGUCUCUGUGGGGUAAAACCCGUGUGAGUUCGACUCUCACCAUCCGCACCA